Molecule: long non-coding RNA, 8716 nt
Organism: Corvus hawaiiensis (hawaiian crow)
Lineage: Eukaryota; Metazoa; Chordata; Aves; Passeriformes; Corvidae
Exons: 2
Source: RefSeq, a predicted model, not a curated record
GGUGCUAAACAUGAGCACUGUUUCUCUCAGAACAGGAGUUGGCUGUAGCGCUGGAGCCCAAGGAGUCUCCCUGCCGCUGUGGGGGAGCUUUUCCUGGCUUGGGCUAUUACUUUCGUUUAUAAACUUAUCAGUGUCUUGGCGACUUUGUAGAGGUACCCAAGCCUCUUUUCUUCAUUCCACAAAAUGAGUUUCCCUAAUUCUGGGGAGGAGAGUGAUGUUAAUUGUCCUCGUCGGUCGCUGGAGCCGGGGGCGCGGGUCUUGCUCCUGAACCGGGGGGGCCCCUCCGCCCGCGGUGGGGCUGCGCCGAGCAGGGGGGGAUGCUCUGAGCCCCGUGUUGGUGCUGGGUCGUCCCGCCUGGCUGUUCGUGCUUGUCCCCCUUGGAAGCAGGGGCAGGCAGAUCGCGGUCUGAAGCGAUCCGCGAGCUGGGCUGAUCACUUUGCAUACCUCUUCCCUUCGGAAAGUUGAAGGGAGAGCGGCAGCGUGUUUUGCCCUGGGUACUGAUUUACAUUAACAACUUGUUGACCUUGUCUGUUGCUGCAAAUAGGGUAUUUUUUUGCGGUUUUUUUCCAUGUGUUUGCGCCCAUACUUUUGAAUAGAGGUACGACACAGGACUAUAUGAAGUUGGCAGACACAUACUGAAAAAACCCUGUGAUUCGUGAUUAUUUUCUUGGAAGCGAGACAGUGUGUGGAGUGCUUGCUUGUCUGUUUGCUUUUUAUCGAUGGACUGUUUGUUUAUGGGUUGUACUUUAGCUCCUAAUGUUACAGGUUUGGAUUAUGUCUUUGCUUUUUUUGGGGAAACUAUUUUUAUUUUGUAAAGAAGAGUAGUUGCAAAUGUAAGAAAAAUCACAUUGUAGCAGCCCUGGGGGUAUUAUAUAACAUGGCUGAUCUGUUCUGGUUGCUGUGAUAAGAACUGAGAUACACAUGCUGUAAAUAUAAGAUACAGGCUUGAGAUGCAAGUGAGAUCUAGCUGAAUAUCAAGUGUUUUGCAGACUAACAGAAACUCUAAUGAUUUGUUUUCUUAGGGUUUUUACUUGCUUAUUAAGACAACUUCUAGAGUAUUGACCUGGAAUAAUUUACUUCAGUUACGUGGGUGAUUUUCUUCGAUUGUUUUCCUUCAGAUUUAGUAAUCUUUGUUCACAAUUUAAAAAGUUUCAUAGUUUAAACAGCAUCUAGAAAACUAGCAGGCACUUUGCGAGUAGUGAGCUGGGGGAGGAAUUAAUACUUAGAACAUGAAGCUGAAUCGUGGUGUACUAAACUAAAUUUUUGUGUUAACAACACUGCACAGGAAAUGAACUUUACGGCCCUGUUCACACGCGAUAGACGUGCUCACGGCAUGUGUAACACAGCAACCACACUAAGGAAGCUUAAGUUGUCAUCAGAGUCCUGACAGUUGUUUUGCUAGAUGAAUUUUUAAUAGUGAGGAUAGUUGCAUGUUACAAUACCUAAAUCAAAAAUAGUCUUUUAAAAUUUUUGUCCGGUGAAUUUUGUUUUCCGUGUGAUUGUUUAAGGGGAAAAAUCCCUCCAAACCUGUUUCCAGAAGCAUGUGUGGGAAGCAGUCUUAAUUUUGUUAAAUUUUGUUGUUCACCUUCAAGAACUUUGGACAAAUUCUUGUUACUAGGUUUGGAUAAUUCAGCCUGACACUACAGGUUGCUAUUGGUUCGUGUGCAUGCUGUCAUCGCAUUGACAGUCACUCAGAUUUUUAUCACUCAGUCACACUUUCUUCCCCUGUCAUCACUCUUCAGCACAGUUCUGUGAAAGAUGGGUUUUGAGAAAUGAAAAUGGAGUUCUGUUUGUGAUCAGUUGAAUACAAAAUCUGUUGGACACAGCACAUUACAUUAUUUUCAUGUGCAAAAUCCUGUAAUAGUCUUUAGAGCUGUCAGGCAGCGCACGGUAUUUCAUUCUCUGCUUUUAUCAUUAGUGUGUGUAGUACGAUCAGAUUUGCAGUUCUUAGAGUGCUAGAUAACUGUGCUGCCUCAGAGAUUGUGCCGGAGUGAGGGAUCACUGGAGAGCAGCUCUCACAGCGCAGUGAAGUUGUUUGGAAAGAAAGAAGGUGUGAGACAACUGAAAACAACGUGCAGGAGCCUGAAAUUCCUGAAGGCAAAAGGAGCAUUGGGCAGGACGUUGUGCUGUUCUGUAAUUAAAAGGAUUUUUGAUUUGAGGAAGAACUGUAAGAGUUAGGAUGCUACUAAGAACCAUUGCUGUUUCUCAGAGUGUGUAGCACAACCUUUAUGGCCCCAGGGAUUCCUUCACACAAACACAAAAUGCUACAAACCUGGUGUGCUUUGGGUGCUGGUGGUGUCUCCCAGAAUUUGUGUGAAUCACCAGUAACCUGCCUGAAUGACAUUUUCACUUUGUUUCAGGGCGCUGUAAAUUGUUGUAUGCUCUCAGAUUAAAGCCAAUGCUGUGUUAGAGCUAAGAACAAAACUUGGCCUGUGUGUAAAUUUCAUGUUUUCACUUUGGCUGGCAUUAGCAUUAAGUUUAUUAAAACACGUAUAAUACAUAAUGCAAUAAUAUUUAUUGAAUCAUUUUGCUAGCUAUAGUGCACAUUUUUCAAGUCAGAAAAUGUAAUAAAAACAAAAAAAAGCCCCAUGUUGAUUGUAAAAUGGCAUUGUAUCUAUUGCUAAUUGGCCCCUGACUUACUCUGGAUUUGUGUUCAUGUCUUAUCUUUUUCCUGGUCAAAUAGCAGAGGAUCAUUUUCUGGAUGUGUGGUGUGAGCAUACCAUGUUUUGUGAUUUGCAUCAAUUUAUGAGCUGUAGCUAAAAAGUUACCUGUUCUUUCCUAGUAUGGGAAACCCUAAAUUAAUCCACCCAAAUUUUCAGAAUAAUCCUGAAAGUGUGUGUGUGCAGAGGUAAAUGCCGUAAUACCUAUUUCUGUUGUGUGUGAAUAUGCUGACAGUCCGUGAGGAAUGGAAGACCUGGUUUAGGUCAUGGCACCUGUAUCUCCCUCCUUAAUUGGUAUUUUCAUAUGUGGUUUUUAUUUGAAAAUUAUGAGCAUCUCAGAAUAAGUGCCACAUUUAAACAGUGAACCAGCCACGAAAGCUCUUCCCUUAAUUUUCAGUGUAUUGACUCCACAGAUUAAACCAUUUAUUAGUGAAAGAUAAGCAGUACUUGGAUGCCGGGACUGGGGUUUGAUUAUCCAGUGCUAUAUAAAGAAUAUCAAAUUACACUUACCCAGCACUGUUGCAAGGAAGAGUUGCCCUGAUUUUUUGUAUUAACUCUAAAAAUCUCAAGAAAGUGGACUCAAAAUUGUGUCAGUCUGUCUUUUUCAUAUAUAUUAGUUAUGAUUUUCAGAUAUCUUUGUAAUUGAACUUGUGGUAAAGGUACUUGGAUUUGUAGAAACCUGCUUAAACACCUUUAGAAUAAUAGCUGUUAAAUCUAUAACAUAAGUGGAGUAAAUGCUGAAAGCCUUAAGGACUUCACGGGCAUUUAUUUAAAAUUGGCUUGGAUAUUCAUAAUCAUAUGCUAUCCCAACAUCCUGUGUGUGUGUGGCUCUUCUCCAGUGCAUUAAUAUACACUGUAGCACCUUGAUUUUGCUCUGUCAUUCUUUUACGUAUGUAAGAUUUCCUUCCUCUUUCCUUGUGUAACUCUCCCUGUCGGGUACAUUUAAUAGAGAAAUAUGUGCAUUUGGGUGCAAGGGGAUCAGGGAGUAAAUCCAAACUUCCUUUGUUUUAAAUUAAAAUUACUCCUAAGACAGAAGGACCAAAUGUGAAAUAGUCUUUCUUUUUAUCACCUGAUGUGGGCCGCCAGAUUAAAUCCUCGCCCCUAUUGCCAGUUAAUUUUCUGCAUUCAAACCCUGAAAUUGCCUGUGAAUUUUGCAGUCACUGCAAACCAGUGUUGCAUAAUUCUGCAUAGGCUGUAUGCUAUAUGGCACCUGCAGUGCUGAAGUGGAUCUCAUUUCAGCAGUUAACAGCACGUUAUUUAGUCCAUUAAGCUGUCUGUUCUUUUCCUCCCUGUCUGGUAAUUCCUUUCCCUUGGAACACACGAGCACUCCCUCCCUUUGAUACUCCCACACUUUCUGUCCAUGCUUCCACUGAGGCCGUCCACCCUUGCUUGAAUCCUCCCUGUUCCCACUGAAACUGUCCUCAAUCAUUUCCCCGACAAACCUCCCAUCACCAUUUCCCUCCCACUUCCACGGACUGACGUCAGCUCUCCUGUGCAGAGAUCCUUGCUUCCACCAAGAGGAUCCUUCCCACGCUGAUACAUGAACUUUUCUCAGUCUUCAGGGCUCCAGACUUUCAGACUGAUACUUUUUAUGCUGUUGUUGUAAGGCAUGAACACUUUCUCCAGGGAGUCUAAUUUUUAAAUUGUACAGAAUGAAGUAGUGUAGUAAUAUGUGAACUGGGCUCAUAUUUAAGCCUAAUUUUUAUCUAUUUAAAUUUCCUGUUGUUUGUUAUGUAAAUUGGAAAAAACCCAAACUGUAAAUCACUCACAGUGUAUAGAUGGCUACACUACUAAGCAUAAGCUACACUUUCAAUUUUUAAAGCAUUAUUAUUGGUAUCUCUUCUUGUCAUGCAAACCAGCUCAUGCAAAAUGUGUCACUGCAUCUGAGGGCAAUUCCUUGUAUGACUGAGAUGAGCAAGGUUAGACGCUGAAUUUUUGGACUAUUUACUGUUGUUACAAACUUCACUGAAUCUCUUUUCAGCUGAAAAUUCUUCUGCCCUUUCCAUUGUUCUUCACUGUUGCUGUCUGAGCUUGCUUUGUGUCUCUUUCUUGGCCAUUUUAUGUAGUUUAGUACUAAGCUUUUCCUUUUCUGCCACCUGAAUCUGUCGAUAGAGGAAGUAUUAAAACCAAGCCUUCAUUUCUGCAGUUCUAGAUGUUUUUCUUACUGUGUUGUACCUUUUGUAUUCCUAAUUAUAUGGCUCAGAUUGAAGUGUAAGUACAUGCAUAGUGAGAAAUUUUCUAGUUAUAAUCCAGGCAGAAUAACGGGAGGUGAUGUACUAAUGAGUUUCCACCAUUCCCAAUAUUACAUGUGGUGUGAAAUGCCAAUGAAAGUUACCAGCUUUGCCUUGCUGUUUAAGGUGCCAGCAAUUCAGAUUUUACAUCCAAAAUGCUAAGUUUAUAUAUAAGUUAAAGAUAUGGAAUGGUUACACCCGCUUGCAAAUACUUCUCACUCAAUCAACUGUUGAUUAGAGGAUGCUUACAAUCUGUGACAAUGAAGAAGGUCUUACUAAGAAAGUUGUUCAUGGUUCAUUUGAAACUAAGAAAAAAUACUGUUUGGAAACUGUUUUGCUUUCCAUUUUGCAUGCUUUAAUAUUUGUUCCUCAUGUUCAAGUAAAUGUCCAUGUCAAGAAAGGGAGAGGUAUUUGAAUGAGAAUUAUUUUUAACAUCCAUUGAAAUUGUUAUAUCCAGCAGUCGCCACUACCAACAGUGAUAAAUUGCUGUUUUGUUUUAGUUAUGAUAUGAACGUUUGUUCACCUCUCUUGGCUGUCACAUUGAGAAAGGACUCCAGAAUUGGGUUGCUUAAGCAGUAGUAACCAUACACUGAAAAUAUUCCACUUUUUGAGCAGUUGGCAUGUCAACUGACUUUCAAAUGACUUCUCAAAGAAGAAACAAGUGUUUCGAGAUAUGGACAGCUAAAGCUUCUAUUGGCUCUCAGCAAAAAGUGAAAGAAACUUAAAGCAAAUAUGAUAAUGAGCAGACUGGCCUUAAGGUGAAAUAAUUUCAGUGCAAGAUUUACGUAAGUUAUCAUUUUACUAGGGGGCCACAGAAGCACCUGCACAUGUAGGAGAACAUUUAGCAUUGUGUUCUGUUUUGGUGGUGGGUAUGGAUGUAAUAUGCCCACACCGUAAACUGCCUUACCAGCCAUGGAUGGAAUUAAAACAUUGUUAGCAAUGUUUCCAAGGUUGCACACAGAGUGUGAUUUUAUGUCCCAAGCUCAGUUUUCCAUGUGAAUUCCAGUGUUUUUAUAUAUCAGAUCCAUUCAUCCAGUAGAGGUUCAGUUGGAAAUUGCUUAAUACUGUGACAUUCUACACAUUGCUAUCCAUUCAUUGGGUAAAUAAUUAGGUAUCAUCAUUUAGCUAUGAUUUAAAUUGGCACAGGAUGACAAGAUACAAAUGGAAUAGCUUUAAUGUGCAUGACAUACUAAAUAGUUUUAUUGCCUAGAGUCAGAUUUUUAAGGUUUCAAAGGCAUGAAGGAGUGAUGUUAAAGUCUUCUGCUUUGCAAAAAGAUUCCAGCAUUCAGCCCCUUUGAGGUUCUUUCUUGACACCCUUUCUAGGGCCAAAAUGUAAUAAAUGAUGUUGUUGCACACGCUGUGAAAUUAAGUUGCAGAGUCUCUAAUUUGUGCAGUCUUCCAGACCCUUCUCUUUUGCUAUGGGUUGUACUGUUGGCCUCAAAUCAAACUCCCAGGCCCUUUUCUUCUCUUUCUUGUAAAAUCUGUAACUCUGUCACUCUACAUAAAGUAAAAGGCUUAGCAUUCUGCAAGCCAGCUCCCACAUGUAUGACUUUGUUCCAGGAGAAAGGAAGAGAGCUAGAACCUGCUUUUUGACAUGGAAAUGUGUUGUCAUAAACUAGGUUAUAUCUGUUUUGAAAGUGUUAGACAAGGUAAUUUGAGAUGGGUUUUGAUAGUGUUUUAAAUGUUCAAAGGUAGUCUGCAGAUACAUGUAGAAGUGUUAAAUGUCCUUGCAUAGCAGAAGAACUUGGAAUGAAAAAGGAAUAUUCAAGAUUUAAAAGCAGUUUUGGGAAUAAAAUGUUGCUCAUGAAAAAGACUGAUUCCAGCAUGAGGGACUCAAAUUGGUAUUCCCAUCCUUGCUUGGAGUGGGAGGAAAUGUGGCUUUUGGUCCUGCCACUUUGUUACAUGAUAGACAAUUUUUGAGCACUAGAUCCCAAGAAACUGGGAUAACAUAUUUUUGUUGGUGUGAAGAAAAUCACUUUGUUGGCCAGAUGGGUCUUUCAUUUCUGAGCAAACUAAAUUGAUACUAAAUCAAGGAUUUUUUAAAAUCAGGACAUAUAUCAAUCUGUUUGUUAAAUAAUAUUUUAACAGAUUUAAGAUGUGUCUGUUUCUUUGUUGGAAAUGAGACCUCACCUUUUUUUUGGCAAGAGCAGAAUUAUUUUGCAUGUUAAUUUUAAAGUUGCAUAGGAAACCAAACAUUUUGUAUGUCUUUUUCAAGGAAGAUGUAUUUUGCUUUGUAAAUCAAACAUUUUAUAUAGUGACAUGAACAGAUUACUGGUCUUGUUACAGGGAAAAUGGUGACAUUGAAAUCUUUUCAUUGUGUUUUAGAUUUCCCACUUUCCUAAGUAAAUCCAUACUAAGAAAACACAGAAUCACUGGACAAAUAUGAAAGAAUGGCAUCCUCUACUUCCCAUUGUUUUCAUUUUGAGUUAGCAGUGACCUUUAGCUCCCCGCUGGGAUGCAGUGGAAACUUUACAAGGCCCCAUCUUACUUGCCACUAAAAGACAACUUAUUUUUAAAGUUACACAUUUACUAUCCUGUUCUGUCUUGGAGUCUGAGGUUCUGUUAUCUCUGAUAAAAUUUAAUCAGAAAAACAACCUCAGUAAGUGAUCAGCAAAGUAGAAUCUUGUUUGAAAAAACCUACGCUAAUUUGUUAAUUAAAGCACAAUGAAAGAAACCUUGAUCCUCAUUGAAUGCAGUCUUCUGUAUUCAGGAGUAGCUGCACUUCUGCAUCAUCAGAAAGAUGUUCCUCGUUCACACUGAGUUAUCAGGGUUGCUUCUCUUCUGACUCUGAGGUGUAGAACUCUGAUUUACAGCAGAGGUUUUAAUUCCAGGUUUAAAUGCACAGACAUAUCUGUGUGAUAUGGAGGUAGGUCAAGAUCAGCGUUGAGCUGAGAUGAUUAGUUUGUAGAUAUGUAUUCUUUUGGAAAACUGUCUGCUCUUCCUUCCAAUUUUUAAUUUUUUUUUUCCUUCCUUCAUAACUUUCCAUAAGUUUGGUGAGAAAUUCCACAAAUGGUUGAGGACAGCCACAGCUAUUACUCUGGUAACUUGAAGCAGAAGUGAUGUGUCCUGUAUGCUGUUUAACUGCCUGGUAAAAAUUGCACUUUUCCAUGAGAUGUAACUCAAAGAUAAGUAUUUCAGCAUAGGAUGAGUAUCAGAAUGUACAUCUGUAAAUGCUGGAAUCCAGAGCUUGUACUGAAGUGUGGAUGGCACUGGGAUUUCUGGCAAGAUAUUUGCUUUUUAUUUUUCAAACCAAGGCAAAGUAUUAUUUUCAAAUGCCAAAGAGAUUUAUCAGUGUGCCAAAUUCUUACUAAAAUGACACUCUUUCAACCCUGUUAUGAUCUGUGGGCUCAAGGGUUGUUGCUGUGGCUUUAGGUAACUUUGGGAGCGGUGACUCAAAGUUAAAACUUUGAAAUUCUAAGCACUCAAAAGGAUUUUUUUCCUCCCACAUUUUUGUACCUGUGUAGUUCUUUUCCUGCGUCUGAGGAUUGUUCUGUAAGCAGUGAUGCAGCGGUGACCCAGACUUCCCCUGGACCGGGGCCACCGUGUACCCAGGAACACAAGAGCUGCACUCAGACCAAGCUGUGUCCAUGUGUGCAGUGCUUUGUCUCCAGCAGCGUCAGCAGAGUGUGCUUUGGAGAAAGAUGCAAGGGAUCUAUUUAAAGGUUCAAAACUGAGAAGAGUUCUUCAUGUUCCUCUUCUGGCUCUAGUCUGAGCAUACUGAUUUACUUUUCAUUUUUCACCGUUUUGGCAUGUAAUAUGAUACCGAUAUUUGAGUUUUAUGUCCUUAAAACUUGGUUGACGAGUGCAAUAAAAAAACCUGUACUC